This 157-nucleotide ribosomal RNA is filed under the name uncultured Sphingobacteriales bacterium. Its description in RNAcentral is "partial 16S ribosomal RNA". It matches the Rfam family "Bacterial small subunit ribosomal RNA", at positions 1226 to 1382 of the family's 1533-position model. Lineage: Bacteria; Pseudomonadati; Bacteroidota; Sphingobacteriia; Sphingobacteriales. The record is from RNAcentral.
UACAAUGGCCAGUACAAAGGGCAGCUACCGGGUGACCGGAUGCUAAUCUCUAAAGCUGGUCUCAGUUCGGAUCGAAGUCUGCAACCCGACUUCGUGAAGCUGGAUUCGCUAGUAAUCGCGCAUCAGCCAUGGCGCGGUGAAUACGUUCCCGGGCCUU